GACCAUAGCUCCCUUCCUCAUCAUCACCAGAACCAGAACGGUUCCUGCGCUGCUCAUUAUCAUCAUCAUCAUCGUCAUUGCGACGACCAUAGCUAGGCUUCCUGUAACUCCCCUCUUCCUGUUCCUCAGACCUUCCAUAGCUAGGCUUCCUGUAACUCCCUUCCUCCUGAUCCUCAGAUCUUCCAUAGCUAGGCUUAAUGUAACUCUCCACCUGUUCCUCAGACCCUCCAUAACUUGGUUUCCUGUAACUACCUUCCUCCUGAUCCUCAGAUCUCCCAUAGCUAGGCUUCCUGUAACCUUCCUCUUGAUCCUCAGAUCUCCCAUAGCUAGGCUUCCUGUAACCUUCCUCUUGUUCCUCAGAUCUUCCAUAGCUAGGCUUCCUGUAGCCUUCCUCUUGAUCCUCAGAUCUUCCAUAGCUAGGCUUCCUGUAACUUCCUUCUUCCUGAUCCUCAGAUCUUCCAUAGCUAGGUUUCUUGUAACCUUCCUCUUGUUCCUCAGACCUUCCAUAGCUAGGCUUCCUGUAACCUUCUUCUUGUUCCUCAGACCUACCAUAGCUAGGCUUACGCUCAUACUCAGACUCUGAUCUGCCACCAUAUCCAGAUCCAAGACCCGAUUCAGGUCUCCUCCCAUACUCAACCUCAGUUCUUCCACCACCAGAUCCAUACUCCGAUUGAUUCUCCGUUCUACCACCAUAACUCUGCUCAGGUCUCCGACCAUACUCCGUCUCAGUUUCACCACCAUAUCCAGAUUCAGGCCUCCUACCAUACUCACUCUCCGUCUGACCACCAUAACCAGAUCCAGAUCCAUAACCAGGAUUCGGCCUCUCACCUUGAACAUGACCGCCACCACCUGAAUCGGGUCGAAAUGCGGGUCGUGGCUUGGGUCGAGAAUAGCUACUGUACUCUGUGUUGAGAGCUUCGUCUCCGUAAGCAGAAGGCUCAUGGAUCUGAGUGAAUUCAGGUCUCUCGUAUUCGAAAUCGUCAUCGACACCAGACGAGAGAGGGUAACAAGUCUCAUCGGAAGGUGGGAUCGGACGGCCGUAAAUCACCGUGAUGUCGU
RNAcentral lists this long non-coding RNA (1059 nucleotides) under Capsella grandiflora. RNAcentral describes it as "long non-coding RNA (CGRA_LNC001548)". The record is from RNAcentral. Lineage: Eukaryota; Viridiplantae; Streptophyta; Magnoliopsida; Brassicales; Brassicaceae.